This is a long non-coding RNA of Alnus glutinosa, 2454 nucleotides long. RefSeq lists it as uncharacterized. The transcript has 2 exons. NCBI's taxonomy places the organism in Eukaryota, Viridiplantae, Streptophyta, Magnoliopsida, Fagales, Betulaceae. The record is from RefSeq and is a predicted model, not a curated record.
GACCCGCUAAACCGUGUGGAAGACCCGGUCCCCCAGCAGCGAUUUCCAGCGAGUUUUCCAGCGGAUCCAGCAACGAUUUUCGGCGAGCUCGUUGACCCAAGAACCCAUGGAGACCUGAAACCCAUUGAACCCAAGAGAGAGACCCAUGAUCCAGACCCAUGCGACCCAUGACCCGCCUGACCCGAGAAGAAGACCCGAUUCUCCAUGUGUUCUUUCUGGCGGUCCAGUGAGCUGAUUUCCGGUGAGCCAUCUUUUCAUUCUCUUUGAUUUUUACUUGAAUUCUCCUUUGAUUUUUGUUGAGAAGAAAACCAUAUGGGUCUCGAAAUUUUGGGGGUUUUCUUGGCAAGAAUCAAAUGGGUCCUUUGUAGGGUUAGCCGAACGAGUCUUUGGGUAUGAAAUUUUAGGGAUUGACGAAAUUCUAGUUUGAUAAUUUAUGGGGUUGGUUUAUGAUGGAUUUUGGAAGUGUUGGUGAAGAUUGGGUUUUUAUGUGGAUGGACCGAAUGGGUAUUUGUCAUUAUGAAAUGGGUUUCGGAUUUUGGUAAGCUUUCCUUAAGUUUUGGGGAUGGAUUCUGGUUGAUAUUACUUGAAUUAUGGGUUUUCUAUUAAGGUUGCAGAAUAUGGUUUUGGUUUGUUGAGUUACAUUUUUAUGUUAAUUUUUGGAUUUGAUUUAGUUUGUGUUUUAGUUGUUAAGAUUCUGAUUGGGUUUGGUGUUAACCAUAUGAAGUUUGAAUAUACAUUGAGAGGGAUUUUGGGGUGUUGGAUUUGUAAAUUUGAUGUGGAUUUCCUAUUUAGGAAAUAUUGGGCUAUUGUUGGAAUUUAUAUUUUAUAAUCAAUGUUGAUGGGUUCCUUAAGGUUUGGUGUUUGUCUAUGUUAGAGAUAACGGGAUAGGUAAUAUUUGUUGUGGAGGAUUUACUUGUAUUGGUUGUGAUUUAAUUCUACGGAUGUGCUUUUGAGGUAUAUUGCUUGGUUAUAGUUGAUGAAUGAUGUUUGGAGGGAAGUUCAUAGUUAUUGAAUUCUCUUUGGGAAAAGAUUGGACAUGUGUAUGUAAUAUUGAUGAUUUUGGAAAUUGAUAUUGAGUUGGGUUUAUGAGUUUGAUUGUGGGUUAUUUGCCUAUGGAUGAGGCUAGGUUCAUUUGGCUUUGGACUAUAUUUCAAGAGUCUAGAUUUAGUGUAGGAGUUGCUGUUGGUAUUUAAGGAUGAAUUGGUAAUGGUUAGGAUUUGUAUCCUUAGAGUUGGUUUUAUGGCUUGAUGGUGUAGCGGGAAUUGUGGAAGAGUUUCUAAGUGGAUGGUCGUAUGAUAUUGUGCUAGAUUGUUAAUGAUUGUUUGUAUGUGGCUAAUUAGAGAUGCUUUAGGUGAGAAGGAUGUAGUUUUGGAGAAUGUAAGUGUCUAUGUGGUUUUAAUAGAAAAAUCUAUGUAUAUGCCUCUAGCGUUAGUGUGUAUAUAUAUAUAUUGUAACCUAAUCUAAAAUGAGUGGUUAAAUUGAUAUAUUAUAUAAGAUUUAUGUUCUAUAACCUAAACUACCUAGAUGGUUAGUAGCUAAUAAAAGAUAAAAGUAUUGAAUGUAAUAACAAUGGUGUUUAAGGAUAAGAAAUAAAUUAAGAUAUAAAUCUAGAGUCUAAGACUAAUAUCAUAGAAGACAAAUAUUGUGAUGUAAACUACCCAAAUAACCUUAAGUUAAUAUGUAUAAGCUAAUAGACUUAUAGAACAUAUAAAUGUGAUAUAAAUCAAUUAUGUAGCAACCUAGUAACUAAUUCACCUACCUAUAUACACAUGGUACUUAUGUGUAUCAUCGGAUUAGGUUUAAGCCUUGUAUGUGUAUACGUGUAAAUGUAUAUGAAUCAAAUAUACAUUGUUAGUAUAAUAAAUAGAGAAGUAAAAUAAUAGAAGUAUCUUAAAGAUAAAUAAGUGUGAUAAAAUAUGAACCUACAAGCGAGGAUUGACCUAAUAGUAGUUAAAGGAACUUAAUUGGUUCUAGAGAUAGAGUAAUGCGACGUGUGAGCACGCGGGUAGUUAGGAUGUCAUAGAGUAUGUGAUUCAAUAGCCUAGUCUAAUGCUACCAAUGUUUGCAGGAUCAUGUUCGGAUUGGAGACUUUAAUUGGUUCUCCAAUGUAGAGUCCAAGUGACUAGAGUCCAAGGAGUGUUCGAGUUGGAGUCUAAUGCAGCCAAGAUGAUGUUUCUUUGGCUGCAGGUACUUCGAUAUAGUUGAGAGGUUGGUAGCAGUGUACUUGGGAUAUUAUGACUGGAGCUCGCCGCGACAGUUAUAAUUGUCGGACCACGGGUUGUCCACUAUUUUAUAGGUUUGGUAUGGCUUGUGACGUUUGUGUCACUUAUUCUUUGUUAAGCCAUUAUUGUUAUGUAAAUAUUGUGUUAAUAAGACUCAAACAGAUAGAUGUUAAAUGACUCAAUAUUGUAAUUAAUUUGUGAUAGAUGUAUAAGUUGUAAUUUCCGCUAUUCA